GGGGAAUUUUCCGCAAUGGGCGAAAGCCUGACAGAGCAAUACCGCGUGAGGGAUGAAAACUUACUGAGUUGUAAACCUCGGUGCCUUAAAGAAGAAGAUCUGACGGUACUUGAGGAAUAAGCCACGGCUAAUUCCGUGCCAGCAGCCGCGGUAAUACGGGAGUGGCAAGCGUUAUCCGGAAUUAUUGGGCGUAAAGCGUCCGCAGGCGGCCUUGAAAGUCUGUUGUUAAAGCGUGGAGCUUAACUCCAUUUCAGCAAUGGAAACUACAAGGCUAGAGUGUGGUAGGAGCAGAGGGGAUUCCCGGUGUAGCGGUGAAAUGCGUAGAUAUCGGGAAGAACACCAGUGGCGAAGGCGCUCUGCUGGGCCAUAACUGACGCUCAUGGACGAAAGCCAGGGGAGCGAAAGGGAUUAGAUACCCCUGUAGUC
Molecule: ribosomal RNA, 426 nt
Filed under: uncultured cyanobacterium
Lineage: Bacteria; Bacillati; Cyanobacteriota
Description: bacterial SSU rRNA
Rfam family: Bacterial small subunit ribosomal RNA
Source: RNAcentral